GGUUUCAAGUUUGGAAACAGAUUCAGAGCUGGAGCUAAGUUCCUUAAACUCUUGGAAUUUGAUUGAUGCAUUCUUACUCAUCUAAAGAGAAUCUCCAAUAUGAACAUUCAAUUUAAUCUAAUCUAAUCUAGCACAGUUGUACAAAGAUGAAAAGAUGGAUCCAAAAUUCUUAGUAUAAUAUUAGAAUCUAUGAUAUGAAGAAUGUGAAAGAUGGAUCCAAAAUUGAAGAUUAAAAGGACUUACAAAGAAGGAUGAUGGAAACCCGUGAGAGCAAAAGAGAGGAUUGCAAGUAAAAAAAACAAAACACGUUUGCGUGGAAAAUCGGAAUGUGUCCAGGUCGGGCUGCGAUCUGUUUGACGGGAAAAUCAGAUUGGAUGUUAAAAAAUUAAGAUUUUUACUAUGUUUUCAUUUUCAACCAU
This 419-nucleotide long non-coding RNA is filed under the name Trifolium pratense (red clover). Its description in RNAcentral is "long non-coding RNA (TPRA_LNC007471)". Lineage: Eukaryota; Viridiplantae; Streptophyta; Magnoliopsida; Fabales; Fabaceae. The record is from RNAcentral.